RNAcentral lists this ribosomal RNA (497 nucleotides) under uncultured bacterium. RNAcentral describes it as "partial 16S ribosomal RNA". It matches the Rfam family "Bacterial small subunit ribosomal RNA", at positions 28 to 507 of the family's 1533-position model. The record is from RNAcentral.
GAUGAACGCUGGCGGCGUGCCUAAUACAUGCAAGUCGAGCGAACAGACGAGGAGCUUGCGCCGCUGACGGUAGCGGCGGACGGGUGAGUAACAUGUGGAUAACCUACCUAUAAGACUGGGAUAACUUCGGGAAACCGGAGCUAGUACCGGAUGAUAUAUUGAACCGCAUGGUUCAAUAGUUAAAUACGGUUUUGCGUGCAGUUAUAGAUGAAUCCGCGUAGCAUUAGCUAGUGGGUAAGGUGACUGCUCACCCACGCUGCGAUGCGUAGCCGACCUGAGAGGGUGGAUGGCCACCCGGGAUCUGAGACUGGGCCGACACUCCUACGGGAAGCCGCGGUAGCGAAUCUUCCGCCAUGGGCGAGAGCCUGACGGUAGAACGCCGAGUGAGCGAUGAAGGUGUUAGGAUCGGUGAGUGCUGUUAUUAGGAGAGAACAAAUGUGUAAGCAGCUGUGCACGUAUUGACGGUACCUACACAGAAAGCCACGGCUAACUACGUG